CCUACGGGUGGCAGCAGUGAGGAAUAUUGGUCAAUGGACGAGAGUCUGAACCAGCCAAGUAGCGUGAAGGAUGACUGCCCUAUGGGUUGUAAACUUCUUUUAUAUGGGAAUAAAAUGUUCCACGUGUGGGAUUUUGUAUGUACCAUAUGAAUAAGGAUCGGCUAACUCCGUGCCAGCAGCCGCGGUAAUACGGAGGAUGCGAGCGUUAUCCGGAUUUAUUGGGUUUAAAGGGAGCGUAGGUGGAUUGUUAAGUCAGUUGUGAAAGUUUGCGGCUCAACCGUAAAAUUGCAGUUGAAACUGGCAGUCUUGAGUACAGUAGCGGUGGGCGGAAUUCGUGGUGUAGCGGUGAAAUGCUUAGAUAUCACGAAGAACACCGAUUGCGAAGGCAGUUCACUGAACUGCAACUGACACUGAGGCUCGAAAGUGUGGGUAUCAAACAGGAUUAGAUACCCCAGUAGUC
This 460-nucleotide ribosomal RNA is filed under the name uncultured bacterium. Its description in RNAcentral is "partial 16S ribosomal RNA". It matches the Rfam family "Bacterial small subunit ribosomal RNA", at positions 338 to 795 of the family's 1533-position model. The record is from RNAcentral.